Molecule: transfer RNA, 529 nt
Filed under: uncultured cyanobacterium
Lineage: Bacteria; Bacillati; Cyanobacteriota
Description: partial 16S-23S ribosomal RNA intergenic spacer
Rfam family: tRNA (bases 221-293)
Source: RNAcentral
UAGGGAGACCUACCCGUUUUGUUUUGAGAGCUUAGUUAAUUACUAAGUUAUUAGAGAGAAAGCUGGUCAUCCCAAGGUCGUUGAGGAUUUGAGUGUUGACUUCCAAGCUAUGUAAGAUUGGUUCGGGUUAUGGGCUAUUAGCUCAGGUGGUUAGAGCGCACCCCUGAUAAGGGUGAGGUCCCUGGUUCGAGUCCAGGAUGGCCCACCUUUAGAGACAUAGGGGGGUUUAGCUCAGUUGGUAGAGCGCCUGCUUUGCAAGCAGGAUGUCAACGGUUCGAGUCCGUUAACCUCCACUGAAAGCUGAGAGCUUUCGAUACUAGAGCGAACCAAGUUUAACUUCAGCAACUCAUCUAAUUUUCUAAUUUUUUGAUAUUUAGAGAGCCUGCUGGAUUUAAUCCAGUCAGAACCUUGAAAACUGCAUAGAAACUUGUCAGGUAGAAAGUAGUGGUCUUUCAGCGAAUUGCUCACGAGGUAAUUCAAGGGAAGGCACAACAGAUAUCACAGACACCAAUGUUGAUUGAUUUUAAGU